GAUGAAGAACGUAGUGAAAUGCGAUAAGUAAUGUGAAUUGCAGAAUUCAGUGAAUCAUCGAAUCUUUGAACGCACCUUGCGCUCUUUGGUAUUCCGAAGAGCAUGCCUGUUUGAGUGUCAUGAAAAUAUCAACCUUGACUUGGGUUUUGUGCUCUAGUCUCGGCUUGGAAUUGGGUGCUUGCCGCUUUUACGAGCGGCUCACCUUAAAUGUAUUAGCUGGAUCUGUCUUUGAGACUUGGUUUGACUUGGCGUAAUAAGUAUUUCGCUAAGGACAUUCUUCGGAGUGGCCUCGUUUCUAGGACGCUUGUCCGCUUUCCAAUACAAGUUCCACCUCGUGGACAUGACUUUUUAUUAUCUGGCCUCAAAUCAGGUAGGACUACCCGCUGAACUUAAGCGUAUCAAUAAGCGGAGGA
RNAcentral lists this unclassified non-coding RNA (413 nucleotides) under soil metagenome. Its description in RNAcentral is "partial contains 5.8S ribosomal RNA, internal transcribed spacer 2, and large subunit ribosomal RNA". The stretch from base 1 to 120 matches the Rfam family "5.8S ribosomal RNA", at positions 35 to 154 of the family's 154-position model. The record is from RNAcentral.